Numida meleagris (helmeted guineafowl) is the source of this 397-nucleotide long non-coding RNA. RefSeq lists it as uncharacterized. The record is from RefSeq and is a predicted model, not a curated record. The transcript is spliced from 2 exons. Lineage: Eukaryota; Metazoa; Chordata; Aves; Galliformes; Numididae.
GAAUAUGUUCAGAUCGGUACUUCUGCUCUUCCAGACUCAGAAGCCAUGGAAACACUCACAGUGCUGUAUCUGCUCAGCUUUUCCAUUUGAUUGAGUUGUCUUAGGAUGCAGCAUCCAAAAGAGCCAAGCCCUCACUUAGCAGCGCUGCUUGUGAGUGUGCUUUUAAAGACCAAAGCAGUAACAAGGAACUACAGCAGAGACUGUCAGCCUGGUGCAGGUGUUCAUCCAGAGGCAGUGAAAGACAGCGUGGUCAGUUACUCCAGAAGCAGACCUGAAAACAGCAAGAACUGACCCAGAGCCACCAGUCCCACUGGCAAGGAAUGCCCCUGCAGAAAGGCUCUGUCUUCCAAGAGUGCCAAUGGAUCAGCUAUGAGGAAUAAACUCUUAGUACAUCUUU